This 243-nucleotide ribosomal RNA is filed under the name uncultured bacterium. RNAcentral's name for it is "partial 16S ribosomal RNA". It matches the Rfam family "Bacterial small subunit ribosomal RNA", at positions 116 to 354 of the family's 1533-position model. The record is from RNAcentral.
CGUGGGUAACCUGCCCAAGAGACUGGGAUAACACCUGGAAACAGAUGCUAAUACCGGAUAACAACACUAGACGCAUGUCUAAGUUUAAAAGAUGGUUCUGCUAUCACUCUUGGAUGGACCUGCGGUGCAUUAGCUAGUUGGUAAGGUAACGGCUUACCAAGGCAAUGAUGCAUAGCCGAGUUGAGAGACUGAUCGGCCACAUUGGGACUGAGACACGGCCCAAACUCCUACGGGAGGCAGCAG